Molecule: ribosomal RNA, 473 nt
Filed under: uncultured bacterium
Lineage: Bacteria
Description: bacterial SSU rRNA
Rfam family: Bacterial small subunit ribosomal RNA
Source: RNAcentral
ACUCCUACGGGAGGCAGCAGUGGGGAAUAUUGCACAAUGGGCGCAAGCCUGAUGCAGCCAUGCCGCGUGUAUGAAGAAGGCCUUCGGGUUGUAAAGUACUUUCAGCAGUGAGGAAGGUGGAUGCGUUAAUAGCGUAUUCAUUUGACGUUAGCUGCAGAAGAAGCACCGGCUAACUCCGUGCCAGCAGCCGCGGUAAUACGGAGGGUGCGAGCGUUAUCCGGAUUUAUUGGGUUUAAAGGGUCCGUAGGCGGAUUAAUAAGUCAGUGGUGAAAUCCCAUCGCUUAACGAUGGAACUGCCAUUGAUACUGUUAGUCUUGAAUGAGGGUGCAGUGGUUGGAAUGUGUAGUGUAGCGGUGAAAUGCAUAGAUAUUACACAGAACACCGAUUGCGAAGGCAGAUCACUAACCCUAAAUUGACGCUGAGGGACGAAAGCGUGGGGAGCGAACAGGAUUAGAUACCCUGUAGGUGACAAU